This 403-nucleotide ribosomal RNA is filed under the name uncultured bacterium. RNAcentral's name for it is "partial 16S ribosomal RNA". It matches the Rfam family "Bacterial small subunit ribosomal RNA", at positions 30 to 526 of the family's 1533-position model. The record is from RNAcentral.
AUUGAACGCUGGCGGCAGGCCUAACACAUGCAAGUCGAGCGCGCGGCGGACGGGUGUGUAAUGUAUGGGGACUCCCCGAUAGAUGGGGGUAACUACUGUAAAAGGUAUCUAAUACCGCAUCUUCUCGGCUAUCCCAUAUGGGAUUAGCUCGUAGGUGAGGUAAUGGCUCACCUAGGCGACGCUCCCUCGCUGGUCUGAGAGGAUGAUCAGCCACACUGGGACUGAGACACGGCCCAGACUCCGACGGAGGCAGCAGUGGGGAAUAUUGCAAAAUGGGCGCAAGCCUGAUGCAGUCAUGCCGCGUGUAGGAAGAAGGCCCUAGGGUUGUAAAGUACUUUCAGUCGGGAGGCGUUACCGACAGAAGAAGCACCGGCUAACUCCGUGCCAGCAGCCGCGGUAAUUC